AGUGAACGCUGGCGGUAGGCCUAACACAUGCAAGUCGAACGGCAGCACAGUAAGAGCUUGCUCUUACGGGUGGCGAGUGGCGGACGGGUGAGGAAUACAUCGGAAUCUACUUUUUCGUGGGGGAUAACGUAGGGAAACUUACGCUAAUACCGCAUACGACCUACGGGUGAAAGCAGGGGAUCUUCGGACCUUGCGCGAUUGAAUGAGCCGAUGUCGGAUUAGCUAGUUGGCGGGGUAAAGGCCCACCAAGGCGACGAUCCGUAGCUGGUCUGAGAGGAUGAUCAGCCACACUGGAACUGAGACACGGUCCAGACUCCUACGGGAGGCAGCAGUGGGGAAUAUUGGACAAUGGGCGCAAGCCUGAUCCAGCCAUACCGCGUGGGUGAAGAAGGACUUCGGGUUGUAAAGACCUUUUGUUGGGAAAGAAAAGCAGCAGGUUAAUACCCCGCUGUUCUGACGGUACCCAAAAAAUAAGCACCGGCUAACUUCGUG
RNAcentral lists this ribosomal RNA (492 nucleotides) under uncultured bacterium. RNAcentral's name for it is "partial 16S ribosomal RNA". It matches the Rfam family "Bacterial small subunit ribosomal RNA", at positions 29 to 507 of the family's 1533-position model. The record is from RNAcentral.